UAUAAAUUACACCAUUUGAAAGACAAUAGGUCACACUUGCAUCAAAACUUUCCCAAAGCCUAAAUUAUUGUUCCUAAUUAGCAUGGCUUUGCUUAAGAUGGGUUUUGUUUUCACUGUUCUUCUCAUAGCAGCUAUGAGCUAGUAUCUAUCUUACAUUAAAUCUAGAUUAUGAUUCUAUCAUAUUACAUAUUUAAUAUGGCAUGGUUCUCUGAGACGCAUCUUGUGGUUGCAAGAAAUGUUGCUCGUGAUCUCUCAGGAGUUGAGAGAAGACUGCUCUCACAACUUAAUACAUGUUUUCGAUCUUGUGAAAUAAACUACGACUGCAAUGAUUGUUGGACGUGUUGUACUUGUGCAGGAUACCCCGGAUACAAGAUAUGUAGAUUUUAAAAGUACAUUAUAUUGGUGUCCAAUUGCACUUUACUUUGUUUCAAAUCCCUAUUAUGCAUUUGUGUUCCUUGUUUUUUCUUUCUACUUUGUAAGAAAAUAAAGAAAGUCAAAAUAAUGGCUUUCGGUCUGCUGUUUCUGGUUUUCUCAUUGUUCUUUUUAUGAAAAUUUACAAAGUCUAAGAUAUUGACUUUCAAUUCAUGAAUAAAAAGGGAUUUGAAUA
This is a long non-coding RNA of Nicotiana attenuata, 607 nucleotides long. RefSeq lists it as uncharacterized. The transcript has 2 exons. The record is from RefSeq and is a predicted model, not a curated record. Lineage: Eukaryota; Viridiplantae; Streptophyta; Magnoliopsida; Solanales; Solanaceae.